Pezoporus occidentalis (night parrot) is the source of this 8617-nucleotide long non-coding RNA. RefSeq lists it as uncharacterized. NCBI's taxonomy places the organism in Eukaryota, Metazoa, Chordata, Aves, Psittaciformes, Psittacidae. The record is from RefSeq and is a predicted model, not a curated record. The transcript has 7 exons.
AGGGCUGGAGCAGCCUCUGCCCUGGAGCCAGGCUGAGAGAGCUGGGCUGGGUCAGCCUGGAGAAGCAAAGGUUCCUUAAGGGGAGACCUUAGAGCAGCUCCAGUGCCUGAAGGGGCUGCAGGAAACCUGGAGAGGGGCUUUGGACAAGGGUUUGUAGGGACAGGCCAAGGGGAAUGGCUUUAACCUGCCCGAGGGGAGACUGAGAUGAGCUCUUAGGCAGAAGCUCUUCCCUGUGAGGGUGCUGAGGCGCUGGCACAGGGUGCCCAGAGAAGCUGUGGCUGCCCCAUCCCUGGGUUACUGUCACACGCUGCUCCUGCUGACUGUACUGGAGGCAGACAAAUCCCUUCUUUAGUGAUGGGAAAACAGUAAUUAGUGUAUGUUUCCUCUUCUCUUGCACCCCAGGGUCACUCUGCUGAGCACUAGCACAAUGUUAGGACUACCUUUGGCAUCUCUGUGUUCUCUUCUGCGUCCUGAACGGCAGUAUUCACUGACACAUGCUGCUUCUCUGAUUUAUGAAUCAAGAUAUAUUUCACCAGAGAGAAUGAGUGCCCGGGGGAGGAGAGUAGGGCUUUGAUCUGACUGUGCUUUUGAAAUGUGACUGGAAAAUCAGAAUUAGAUGGUAAUCUCUUUGGGGCAGGGACAUCUUUGUUUGCCCUGUACAGUGCCUACUGUGCUUUGGGUGCCAUGUUAUCGACAGCAGAGGUUGAGUAAUGAGUGAUGCUCCCAAACUGUAUCUGUUGACCCAGCCAUUGAGCAGCUGUUCUCAUCCUAUAAUUAAUAGCGUGCUUUGAUUUCUUUUCCCUGCUUCUCAUCUCUGUAGUAACUGGACUUUGCUGGGCUCUUGGAUCGUAGGUGGGAUGGAUCUGCUGCCCAGCCUUUGACUGGGGUUUUAUGCUGUGGGCAGCUCUGCAUGUGCUAUGUGAGCUCAUCCAUCCUGGUGGGACACUGGCACAGGCUGCCCAGAGAAGCUUGGUUGUUAAUUCCCUGCCCUGUAUUAAAGGUUUUCAGUGGGGACAGCGCAGCAGGUGAUGCCCUGUCUGCAUCCCUGCAUAACUGCUCUUUCCUCAGCUCCCAAAGCAGCACUGUGCAUAAUGGUUUCACCAAGCCUUUGUUGUCACUGGUACUAAAAAAUCCUGGUUUAAUUUAUAACCAUUGCAUUUGAGGGGGAAACUUGCCUUGUCAUUACAGAGAAAGAGGAAGGAAAGGAUGCUCGAGGUGUGAUUGUUGUGAUUCCUAAAUAAGUAAUGGGGUUUGAUGUUGAGGGCUUCCAUCUCCUACACUGUGUAUGUGGCUCUGCUUUGUAAGGUGAAGAUGUGCUUUCUGUGUUCUGUACCUGGUGGCUCAGACUUGAGACAGUGACUUCCAUAGUCUCAACAGUUGCGUUGUAUGGCUUUGGGAUCCAGGGCUGCCCCUCUCCAGGACACCCUGUUGCAGCGGAGAGGCUCUUCACCUUGAAGAGAGAGAAGAGGGCUUUCAGAUUGUUUGAACUGAACUGGCUGUGAAAUGCAGUCCUUGUGGAAACUCCUUAAAGAGGUUUGUUUCCCCAUCUGUCGUGGUGAGAUGCAGGAGCACUUUUGAGCAAUUCUGCUUUCCUAAGAGUAAAUUGGGGUUGAGAGAGAGGCAGAAAAGAUGCCUUUUUGAGACCCAUCAAGCUAUGAGUUAAAGCUGAGGUACACUUGGGUGAUGUCUCCAGCUCAGUUGCCUCUAGGUGCUUUGCUCUGAAAUAGGACAUGAUGUGUCUCAUUUCAGAUGGGCUACUGAGCUGCGUCCUGCAAUACUCCCCUAAUUGUCUUGAUUCUCCAGCUGCAAAGAUCCAUUAGCACAGACAGAAGUUUCUUGCCUUCCCAGCCAGGGAGAAAAAGGCAAAGGAGGUAUGGAAGGGAGGGGGGAGAGCUCAGAAGGAGACUUUGCUGGCAGAUGACUGCAGUGAAUCUCACAGCCCCAUUUAGCACAUCCAUCUUUCCAGAGUAGCUGAUGGCACAUGUGAAAUGCAGCAAGUCCUGGGGCUAUUGUGUAACUUGGGGGAUGCCUGCAGCCGCUGCUCAUAAUUAAUCAUUUAAGCACCAGUAAAAUCAAGUGACUUUCCUGACGGUACCCAAACUGCUGACCUCAAUGCAUUUCAAAAGUUCGCUGGAUGCUGAACCUCGGAUGACCCAUGGAUGGAUCUGGAAUAAUAAUUUUCAUAAUCCUCAAGUCAUUAUCUUAAGAGGGAAUGUAUUGUUCUCCUAAUUAAGUCCAUCCACACACUGUGCAGCUUCCCAUGCAAAUGCACUGUGCAUAAACUAAUUAAAAGAAAUAUACAGCCACAAGGACUUAAACUGCCUUUCAUGCAAUCUCUUUAAAUUAGAAGGAGUCUCCCUCCUCCCCCCCUCACACACACACACUCUAACAAGGGAUUCGGCACCAUAUUCAGCAGGGAAAACCACCGAGCAUUUUGGAUCAGAAUCUGGAAUUCCCCAAAAUUUAUUAGAAAGCUUUUGUUUUAUGACAUUUUUGCGAGGGCCCUGGAUGUGUAGAAGACCCAAAUUAAGUGAGAGUUAUGAUCAUUUAAUAGGAGACAGUCCCUGCCCUAAAGAGCUCACAGCCUAAACAGACAAGACAGCCAAGAGCUGGAAGAGCCUUUUUAGCAGUUAAACAGCUCAGCCAUUGAGGAGUUGAAUGACUUUUUCAAGGUCAUGCAUACAGAGCUGGGAACUGGAGGCAGACCUGGACCAGCAGUGGAUGUACCCGAGUCUCCUGCCUUUAGCAAUACACCUAAAAGAUGUGAUCUGUAGAAACUUCUUUAAUGCAACAACACUGAAGGGCAAUUUCCCAGUGGAACUGAAGGGUGUUUGGUUAACUGGGGGCUGGCUAUUGGACUGCUUGGCUGUAUUCAGUAGUUAUUUCCUGUUCUCAGUGUGGUGGAGGCUGUGCCACUGGAAAGCAAUGGGCUGGAAGCCUCUAUUUGUGUUUGGUUGUGGCAAGGAUGUGAAUGAAGCAAGUUGAAGCUUCAUUCAUUUAUUGUCAGGGUCAGCCUUCCUGCUGUAAUUUCCCUCGAGAAUACUGCUGACAUUGCCUUGGGCUUCUGCUUUGCAGAAGAGGAGUGGAAUGUGUCUUGGAUGUGUCCUUCUUGCUGGUUUCACUCCUCGUGUAGGAUGAUUGGUGUCUGCAGGUAUGCAGGAGCACUGUGGUGUUACUGCUUGUUCUCCUCCUGUAGGAAAUCAACAGCAACUUCAGUAUUGUGUCUAAAUAUAGAUAAUAUAUGUUCAAACAUAUCACCCUAGUCUCCACGAUGAUAGCAGGGAGAGGUGUCGGUACAUCUUAACGUGCUAGAUUGGGGGUAGCUUAAACCAGUGGGUGUGCCAGCAAAAGGUAACUUGGGUUUUUGCCUUGCUCAGACUUUCUCCCACAAAUACCUUGCUUGGCUGCUGCGGUUAUGAGAUACUCCAGACAAAGCCCGGCGCGUGUGAGAUGGGGCAACAACCUUGUAAACUGAAUCUGAGUUUAAUGAUGGAGCAUCUCGGUGUUUUCACCGGUCUGAGUGGUCUUCAGAACGUUGGUGGUACAGAGAUUGGCAUUUGCAAAUCUCGCGUGAUGGUGAACCUGCUGUGCACAAAGACCAUGAAUGACAGGCCACAGGUUACAGGUCACAUAGCAAAGGAGCAGUUUGUGAGCAGUCUGAUCUGAGCAAAGUACCCACACAAAGAAGCUGGUAUUUCGCCGAGGUGAACUGAGUCAAUGCAGCCAUGCCCACCGACAAGGGAGGACACGGCAGCAACCAUGCAGCUUUGAUCCACAGGUUGGAAUAGUGUCAGCUAGAUGCUAGAUGAAGAUGGGCUGUGUAGCUCACAGCCCUGCAGAAGCCUUUAAGUUCUGCCAAACAGACACUAGUUGGUGCCUGCAUCAUCUGAACGAGUGACAUCUGCAAUUAUUGAGGCAAUAGAGGAGCAAGUUGCAGAAACAGCACAUUAGUGUGUGAAUGCCAUCCACAGGGGGACUAGUCCAGGGAGAAGUGGCAACCAAGCUGUCAACAGCCCGGCCAUGGCUGGAUAGGAAUUUGCACACGAGUUUUGGGAAAACAGAGGAUUUCCUCGCUGUUGUUUGUAGUGGGUGUUUAUAGGUGCAAAGUGGAAGAAGAAAUUUCCUCAGCCUGGUCUUGAUUACUGUCUCAUUUUGCAUGUGGCAGGUUUCCUGGCAGCAUCCCUACCAAUGCAGCAGUCAUCGGAAAAGGAGGGUGGCAAAGAGCUGGGAUCCACCCGGAGGCCCCUGCAGCAUGGGUUCAGAACCGGAGCGAACAGGCAGUUCUCUUAUCUGAUGUAGCCUGGAGAGCAGACAGAUAGGACUGCAGCAAUCAGUAUGAUGGGAAUGUGGUGGGUGGACUCUACCAAGAGAAAAGAAACCCUCCCCUCUAUGGAUGAGCCUUCAUCUCUGUUUCCCCUCUCCAGUCCUCAUUCCGGUAAGAGGGAGGAUCUUUUCCCCAUCUAGCAAUGAGAUGAAAGAGUGCCCCCCAUUUGACACUUCAUGAGUUGGCUGAACCUACAAAAUGAUCUUCAUAAAAUCCUGAUUCCAAAGCAUCAAAGCCUUUUCCUGACUGGUAAAAACCCUAAAAAUUCCUGGAAGAACUGCCAAAGGGCAAUGGGGCUGAUUCUGUCAACUGCCUUUGGUUAGAGCUGGGUUUGGUUAUUUAUGGGGGCUGGGGGAGGCAAGAACUUUCCAGAUGGGCGGCUGAACCAAAUAUAACAAUGAUAAAAAUCAAUGCAGUUAUGUGAAGGGAAAAGAAUGCCUGUGCUGAAGGGCUGCUUGAGGCACACGCUUCUCUGUGUGAGACAUCCCUCAGCACCGUGCUGCUUGUGACAUCCCACCCUGUGCUGCUCCAUCCCUGUGUGCUGCACAGGCACCUCCUCCAUGCCUGCUGAAAAGCAGCCUUUGCUGGGAGGAUGCUGGCUGGAUUUAGUGGUGCAAAAUCAUCUGAGUUCUCAAGUCAUCCUGAAGUAUUAAUUCUGAUUGCUGAGAGCCCUGUUGGUGUGUGUGGCAUUGCACAGAGCGAAAACUCUGUCCCUUCUCCAAAGGCGUCGCAGUCUAGGCAUACAUGGCAGGAGAAAGCAUAAGAAAGGCAAAGCAUAUGGGAUUGGGACUGAUUGACCUUUGUAUGCAUCCAAGAAUAGAGGAGGAUUCAGUAAUUCCUUCAAGAAGGAAGCUUGCUUGCCAUCUACUUAGUGAAGAAGCAUGCUGAGUGGUGCAAGUGGGAAAAUGGCUGGGAGUCAGGACUGUGUGGAAGACAUGAAAUAUCUGCUGAGAAAGGAAAUCUGCUGGAGAGGGUUGGAGUUGGUGACUGCAAACUGCCUUUUGGCUGAGAGUGCCAUUGGGUUUCCUAUGUUAGUGAAGUUUGGGAUGCCUGCAUGGGCUGUUAAUUAUCCAGUCCAUUAUCAGCACUUUCUUUGUGUGAUCUUUGUUUUUGGAGGUGUCCCCUCGUGGAAACCCCUCAGUACUGUCAUGGAAAGGAUAUGUAAGAAAUUGUCCCUUGGGCAAUGCUUUCUUUCUACUGGGUCCUUUUCUACUUCUUUCACUCUGGUAUUUGCACUCUCAGCCUCACCUGCUGACCAAUAUGCAUUUAUACUGUUGAAAGGGUGGUGAGGCUUAGCCUGCUGAGGUUGCUGUCCAUCAUUGCAGUGAAUUCCAGCUCUCUAGGUGGUGUUCUACAUCAGUCUGUGGUCCCAUCAGUUGCCCUUCACCAGCCGGCUGUCUUGUGGGAGCCCAGCCCUGACCACAGCCAUCAGUCAAGGAAGGUGCUGGCUCCUCUCCCUGCUCCUCAACCAGGGUUGGACCCUCCCUGCAGCAAGAGAUGCCUGGGAUGAGAAGCAUUCAUCAGAGCUCUAGGGUUUCGUUUCCUUUAAACUGACAACUUUUGGAAUCAGACAAGAUGCGUCUCUGCUGCUUGACAAGGUUCAUAUGCAGAAUAAUCUUCAACGUGGAAGCUGAAACCCUGUCCUGGGGUAGCACGUCCAUGGGAGAAGGUCACAUACAACUGACAAUGCUGAGCUAGAUCCAGGCCAGCGCUUUGACUCCGCUGGUGACCUUGCGGGGGACAUGGAACCACUGGCUGUCACAGCGCCAGAGGGAGCAGAGAAUGCAACAGCAUCGUCAGUCAAGGUGGAAGGAGGGGACAAAGCAGCAGCAAGAGGGGAGGUGGAAAGCCCAAAGGGAGCAGGUCCCGGUGGAACAGGUCCUCAAGGAGCAGCGGCAAUUGUGGCGGAAACAUGGGAAUACCCAGAGGCAGAAGUUGCUGCAGCAUGUGCCCGGGCAGCAGAAAGGAUUGCAGCGUCACAAGCAGCCAAGGUGUUGCAAUCAGCAAUAGCUGAGCUCAAAGAGAAGAGGAGCAGCACGUGGCUAAAGCCAAAGAACACCACUCAGCAGCAGGAGGAGGACUGGGUGGAAGAGGGAAAGGUGAAAUGAAAUGAAGGAGAGCUGGUGUUCUGGACCAUACCUGAUGGGGAGCAGGUACCCUGGCACCAUGACAGCUCCUCAAGUGCAAUAGGGCUGCUGGUUACAUCUCUUUUGUGACUGCCCAUGCUAUUAAAAAUAAAGAUAUGCCAUAUUCCACACCCAGUUCAAGGUCUUUCUAAGGCCCUUGUCUCCUGGUUUUAUGAAAUGGCAGCUCUACACCUCUUCCCCAAAGAUAACCUAGAGUAAAGUGUGCUGUUCAUGCUGGAAAACAAGCUCUUGGUAUGAAACUAUAGAAAAAAGAUGCUGUAAAUGUGGGGUCAGGUUUGUGUGCCUGUAGGCCAAGAGAUGGUUGUGGGAGCACAGCUAAUGUCAAUUGGUUUCGCAUCCCAGCAGGGCAGGUGCAGGCUCCAGUCUGCUUGCUCCAGCUCUGAUGGGUGUUUCUUGCCUACAUGGGAAUGGUGGGUUAUCAUCUCUUUUUUUCUUAUUUAUUUUCUAAUUCUGCUUAUUCAUCUGGAGCAGGGAAUGGGGAAGGUCGCUCCAUCCACACUGAUAAUGGUAAAGUCAUGCAGAAGAAAAUGAGGAAAUGGGAAACAGCAUCUCCAGAACACAGCGGUGGACUUGCCAGCAUGAAUGACAUUCCCCAGGCAGUGCAGGAUGAUCUGUGAAAGAUACCCCUGUUUUUUGAGAGGAAAACCAUUAUUUGUUGUUUUUUCAGCCUCUGAGGUGUAGGGCUGCAGCUUGAACCCACUGGCUUGGAGGCUUCAGAGGCUGACCCCAGGAGGGGCCCUGGACACCCACAUUCUGGCUCCAUGCUCAGUCACCAAAACUCCAUCCUUCCCCAUUGGAGUCUCAUGGGAUGUGCUGGUAUCAUGGAGAGCAGCACGGCGAUGCCUGCCUGCGCUGAGCAGCCCUGUAAGUAGCACAACCCCCUGUGCUCAAGCUGGCCACCAUCUCUGCUGGGAUUUUAACCCCAGCUUGCAGACAGAACAGCAGUCUGAUCAUUUGAGCACACCAUUACGCAGCCCUGGGUUGAUAAGGGUGGUUCAGUUCCAGCAUCUGCAGCAUGGAAACUUCUUUCCCCCCAGUUUCUCUGUUGCGAUUCCCUCACCCAGCACACCCUUGAGCUUGAACAAGGUCAUUUCUCUGUACCACUUCCAGCCAGGCAGCACAGCACCACUGCAGGUCCUUCCCCACACCACAGCCCCAUGGUGGGAGGACGUUUCCCACGUGUUCAGGGUGACAGUGGGAGCAGGUUUUGUGCAUUGGCAAGAGUAAUCUGCGGCUGUGGGACCAUGUUCUGCCACGAGCCCACGUCUCCUGAGCAGUGAUUGCACAGCCCUUUGAGGUCCUCUGUUCCCAGCUGCAAGAUGGAGAUACCCUUCUUAACCCACACCAUCACUUUGGUUCACUGCAGCUUGCGAAGUGCUUCUGGAUCAACAGAUGGGAGGCACCAGAGAAGUGACAAAGAUGAUUAAUAGCAAGGUUAUUAACCAACGUCAUGGGUCAAAUCUGCAUCGGUUCCCAAGUUUGUGCUUGAUACAGAGGUCAGUGUCAUGGGUGACUCCCCGUGGGGCUGGGAGCUGGACUUGACACUUGGCUGUAGGGCCAGGAUAGGCAAAAAUCAGGUUAAGCAGAUUUGGCCUGCACCUGAUAAGAAUGUUUCUGAGGGAAUAAGGUGUUUCCCAUGAUGUUGCUGGAGUAUGAACCCCUCUCCCAGGUGAGCUGUCAGUGGUCCCACACUGGUGCAGUUGCUUUGCAAGCUGCUUGGUUGAAACUUCUGUGAUUUGAAGGGCUGUGGACGCACUUAAGAGAUCUCUGGUCUCGGGCAGGCAGCAAAGUGUGCACUUGUGUGGGGGAAAGUGCUGCUCUGCUGAAGCAUGGUUUCCAUUUAAGCACUCGGAGGGCUCCUAGCCCUGGCCUGCUUGUGUUUAUCUGUGCCAAGUGUGAAUGGGAAUUGGAAAAUGGGGAGGAGAGAAUGGCUGCUUUUUAAAAAGCUAAUUUAAAAGCAGGCGCAGCCUUCUGUAAAGAUGAUUCUGAUUGUCCAGAGCUCUUUUAAAGGGACAAGGUUAAAUGCGUUUGUAUUGAGAAUGUGGGAUUAGACACGCGCCCAAAAUGAACAACAGCAUCUUUAUUUAUUUCAUACUUAAAUGGCCAGGAGUGUAAGUCAGUCGGUUCCUGAUGAUCCAGGAAUGCA